Molecule: ribosomal RNA, 618 nt
Filed under: Ascochyta dolomitica
Lineage: Eukaryota; Fungi; Ascomycota; Dothideomycetes; Pleosporales; Didymellaceae
Description: eukaryotic LSU rRNA
Rfam family: Eukaryotic large subunit ribosomal RNA
Source: RNAcentral
UGCAUAUCAAAAAAGCGGAGGAAAAGAAACCAACAGGGAUUGCCCUAGUAACGGCGAGUGAAGCGGCAACAGCUCAAAUUUGAAAUCUGGCGUCUUUGGCGUCCGAGUUGUAAUUUGCAGAGGGCGCUUUGGCAUUGGCAGCGGUCCAAGUUCCUUGGAACAGGACGUCACAGAGGGUGAGAAUCCCGUACGUGGUCGCUAGCCUUUACCGUGUAAAGCCCCUUCGACGAGUCGAGUUGUUUGGGAAUGCAGCUCUAAAUGGGAGGUAAAUUUCUUCUAAAGCUAAAUACUGGCCAGAGACCGAUAGCGCACAAGUAGAGUGAUCGAAAGAUGAAAAGCACUUUGGAAAGAGAGUUAAAAAGCACGUGAAAUUGUUGAAAGGGAAGCGCUUGCAGCCAGACUUGCCUGUAGUUGCUCAUCCGGGUUUCUACCCGGUGCACUCUUCUAUAGGCAGGCCAGCAUCAGUUUGGGCGGUUGGAUAAAGAUCUCUGUCAUGUACCUCUCUUCGGGGAGAACUUAUAGGGGAGAUGACAUGCAACCAGCCCGGACUGAGGUCCGCGCAUCUGCUAGGAUGCUGGCGUAAUGGCUGUAAGCGGCCCGUCUUGAAACCACGGACCA